Molecule: ribosomal RNA, 474 nt
Filed under: uncultured organism
Description: partial 16S ribosomal RNA
Rfam family: Bacterial small subunit ribosomal RNA
Source: RNAcentral
GUACACUCCUGCGGGAGGCAGCAGUGGGGAAUAUUGCACAAUGGGCGCAAGCCUGAUGCAGCCAUGCCGCGUGUAUGAAGAAGGCCUUCGGGUUGUAAAGUACUUUCAGCGGGGAGGAAGGCAAUACGGUUAAUAACCGUGUUGAUUGACGUUACCCGCAGAAGAAGCACCGGCUAACUCCGUGCCAGCAGCCGCGGUAAUACGGAGGGUGCAAGCGUUAAUCGGAAUUACUGGGCGUAAAGCGCACGCAGGCGGUCUGUCAAGUCGGAUGUGAAAUCCCCGGGCUCAACCUGGGAACUGCAUUCGAAACUGGCAGGCUUGAGUCUUGUAGAGGGGGGUAGAAUUCCAGGUGUAGCGGUGAAAUGCGUAGAGAUCUGGAGGAAUACCGGUGGCGAAGGCGGCCCCCUGGACAAAGACUGACGCUCAGGUGCGAAAGCGUGGGGAGCAAACAGGAUUAGAUACCCGGGUAGUCCC